This 443-nucleotide ribosomal RNA is filed under the name uncultured bacterium. RNAcentral's name for it is "bacterial SSU rRNA". It matches the Rfam family "Bacterial small subunit ribosomal RNA", at positions 95 to 573 of the family's 1533-position model. The record is from RNAcentral.
CCGGCGGACGGGUGCGUAACGCGUGGGAAUAUACCUAUCGAUUCGGAACAACUGAGGGAAACUUCAGCUAAUACCGAAUACGUCCUAACGGAGAAAGAUUUAUCGUCGAUAGAUUAGCCCGCGUUCGAUUAGCUAGUUGGUGGGGUAACGGCUCACCAAGGCGACGAUCGAUAGCUGUUCUGAGAGGAAGAUCAGCCACACUGGGACUGAGACACGGCCCAGACUCCUACGGGAGGCAGCAGUUGGGAAUCUUGGACAAUGGGGGAAACCCUGAUCCAGCCAUGCCGCGUGAGUGAUGAAGGCCUUCGGGUUGUAAAACUCUUUCGCGCACGACGAUAAUGACGGUAGUGCGAGAAGAAGCUCCGGCUAACUUCGUGCCAGCAGCCGCGGUAAUACGAAGGGGGCUAGCGUUGUUCGGAAUUACUGGGCGUAAAGCGCGCGCA